GCGAACGUGGCGGAAUUGGUAGACGCGUCAGCUUCAGGAGCUGGUGGCAGCAAUGCCGUGAGGGUUCGAGUCCCUCCGUUCGCACCA
This is a transfer RNA of 87 nucleotides. It matches the Rfam family "tRNA". From Rfam's summary of the family: Transfer RNA (tRNA) molecules are approximately 80 nucleotides in length.